Molecule: ribosomal RNA, 254 nt
Filed under: uncultured bacterium
Lineage: Bacteria
Description: partial 16S ribosomal RNA
Rfam family: Bacterial small subunit ribosomal RNA
Source: RNAcentral
UACGUAGGGGGCGAGCGUUGUCCGGAUUUAUUGGGCGUAAAGAGCUCGUAGGCGGUUUGGCAAGUCGGGUGUGAAAACUCCGGGCUCAACUCGGAGACGCCACUCGAUACUGCUAUGACUCGAGUCCGGUAGGGGAGUGCGGAAUUCCUGGUGUAGCGGUGAAAUGCGUAGAUAUCGGAAGGAACACCAGUGGCGAAAGCGGCUUCCUGGUCCGACACCGACGUUCAGGCACGAAAGCGUGGGGAGCAAACAGG